UACAGAGGGUGCGAGCGUUAAUCGGAAUUACUGGGCGUAAAGCGCACGUAGGCGGCUUGGUAUGUCGGGUGUGAAAUCCCCGGGCUCAACCUGGGAACUGCAUUUGUGACUGCAUGGCUAGAGUGUGGCAGAGGGGGAUGGAAUUCCGCGUGUAGCAGUGAAAUGCGUAGAUAUGCGGAGGAACACCGAUGGCGAAGGCAAUCCCCUGGGCCUGCACUGACGCUCAUGCACGAAAGCGUGGGGAGCAAACAGG
This 253-nucleotide ribosomal RNA is filed under the name uncultured bacterium. RNAcentral's name for it is "partial 16S ribosomal RNA". It matches the Rfam family "Bacterial small subunit ribosomal RNA", at positions 524 to 776 of the family's 1533-position model. The record is from RNAcentral.